GAUGAACGCUGGCGGCGUGCCUAAUACAUGCAAGUCGAGCGGUAAGGCUUCUUCGGAAGUACACGAGCGGCGGACGGCUGAGUAAUGCAUAGGAACGUACCCCAAACUGAGGGAUAAGCUACCGAAAGGUGGUCUAAUACCGCAUGUGCUCUUCGGAGUAAAGCUACGGCGGUUUGGGAGCGGCCUAUGUUCGAUUAGCUUGUUGGUGAGGUAAUGGCUCACCAAGGCGACGAUCGAUAGCGGGUCUGAGAGGAUGAUCCGCCAGACUGGAACUGAGACACGGUCCAGACUCCUACGGGAGGCAGCAGUAGGGAAUUUUCCACAAUGGGGGCAACCCUGAUGGAGCAACGCCGCGUGCAGGAUGAAGGCCUUCGGGUUGUAAACUGCUUUUUUCUGUGAUGAUUAUGACAGUAGCAGAGGAAUAAGGAUCGGCUAACUCCGUGCCAGCCGCCGCGGUAA
This 459-nucleotide ribosomal RNA is filed under the name uncultured bacterium. RNAcentral's name for it is "partial 16S ribosomal RNA". It matches the Rfam family "Bacterial small subunit ribosomal RNA", at positions 28 to 523 of the family's 1533-position model. The record is from RNAcentral.